This 403-nucleotide ribosomal RNA is filed under the name uncultured Coprothermobacter sp. Its description in RNAcentral is "bacterial SSU rRNA". It matches the Rfam family "Bacterial small subunit ribosomal RNA", at positions 355 to 774 of the family's 1533-position model. Lineage: Bacteria; Pseudomonadati; Coprothermobacterota; Coprothermobacteria; Coprothermobacterales; Coprothermobacteraceae. The record is from RNAcentral.
CAGGGAAUCUUGGGCAAUGGGCGAAAGCCUGACCCAGCGACGCCGCGUGGAGGAAGAAGUCCUUCGGGGCGUAAACUCCUGGACUGGGGGACGAGUAAGGACGGUACCCCAGUAGAAAGGGACGGCUAACUACGUGCCAGCAGCCGCGGUAAAACGUAGGUCCCGAGCGUUGUUCGGAUUCACUGGGUGUAAAGGGCGCGUAGGUGGUUGUCUGUGUCUCAUGUGAAAACUCAGGGCUCAACUCUGAGAUUGCGUGGGAAACUAGGCAGCUAGAGGACGGUAGAGGGGAGUGGAAUUCCCGGUGUAGCGGUAAAAUGCGUAGAUAUCGGGAGGAACACCGGUGGCGAAGGCGGCUCUCUGGGCCGAUCCUGACGCUGAGGCGCGAAAGCUAGGGGAGCGAACC